AUUCAUCUGACGAGUCCCAAAUAGGAUGAAACGAGCGUCCCGUAU
This 45-nucleotide non-coding RNA is filed under the name Schistosoma mansoni. The record is from RNAcentral. Lineage: Eukaryota; Metazoa; Platyhelminthes; Trematoda; Strigeidida; Schistosomatidae.